This 494-nucleotide ribosomal RNA is filed under the name uncultured bacterium. RNAcentral's name for it is "partial 16S ribosomal RNA". It matches the Rfam family "Bacterial small subunit ribosomal RNA", at positions 28 to 507 of the family's 1533-position model. The record is from RNAcentral.
GACGAACGCUGGCGGCGUGCUUAACACAUGCAAGUCGAACGGAAAGGCCUGCUUUCCCUUGUGGAUUGCGGGUACUCGAGUGGCGAACGGGUGAGUAACACGUGAGUGAUCUGCCCCCAACUUGGGUAUAAGCCUGGGAAACUGGGUCUAAUUCCCGAUAGGACUGCAGGGUGGUGCCUGUGGUGGAAAACGAUUUUCUAGUGGUUGGGGAUGAGCUCGCGGCCUAUCAGCUUGUUGGUGGGGUAAUGGCCUACCAAGGCGGCGACGGGUAGCCGGCCUGAGAGGGUGGACGGCCACAGUGGGACUGAGAUACGGCCCAGACUCCUACGGGAGGCAGCAGUGGGGAAUAUUACACAAUGGGCGGAAGCCUGAUGCAGCGACGCCGCGUGGGGGAUGACGGCCUUCGGGUUGUAAACUCCUUUCGACCGCGAGGAAGCCACCUGGUUGGAAGGGUGGUGACGGUAGUGGUAGAAGAAGCACCGGCUAACUACGUG